Molecule: long non-coding RNA, 1162 nt
Filed under: Gossypium barbadense (sea-island cotton)
Lineage: Eukaryota; Viridiplantae; Streptophyta; Magnoliopsida; Malvales; Malvaceae
Description: long non-coding RNA (GBAR_LNC001176)
Source: RNAcentral
GAAUACAACAAGAAAAACAUAGAGAGAAAAACAACAUUUUUUUGUCCUUUUAUUCUCUAAAUUCUGGUGUUUUAUGAAAUUACAUGAGAGAUAAAUUAUGUUUAGGAGAUUGGGUUUUAAGUGGGAUUGCUUGUGACCCCUCGAAUCUCUCUUGGGAAUUGAACUAGUGCGGUUUUGCCAGUUUAUUCCAGUUUAAUUUUCGAUCAAUUGCUUUUGUUUUUCGAUUUCCAUUUCUUUCGAGAAGAGCAAUGCCAAUUGUGUUCCACCUUCUUUAUUUGGAUGCACGAAUAUUGAAGUAUUGUUUUAACCUUAGGGGGCAACGUCUACUACACGAUUACACCGAUUAGGGUGAAUUUGCUUCUAAGGCAGUGGUUCUUCCAUAUGGCACAGUGAUUACUAUUUUAUUUACACUUAGUUUGGUUUCCUGUUAUAGCACUAACAAUUUUGUUUUACAAUAAUAUGUUUCCAACAAUAAUUACAGAUAUUCAUUUGAAGAUAAAAUCUUUACAAAAAAUGUACAAUUGUGAGAAGAAGAAAAAAAACCCCAAAACAAAAGAAAGAAAAAGAUUAAAUUUCAAUUCAUAAAUGAAUGGCCAUAUUUAGGGAUCAAUUAAUUAACUUUUAAAACGAUAAAAUUGUUAAUAGCAAUAGCCAAAUGGGUGCAUUAAUUUUUCAAGGUAUUUAAUGGAGUGAGCCUAUUAAUUAAUCCUUCGCAUUUUGUAGGUUCAUUAAGGGGUAGAUGCUGACCAUGAGUUUUAAAGUUGUUCCAUACCCAAAACGAAGAUCGAACCAUCAACCACUGAUUAAACUAGGAAAAACUCUUACCAUCUCACUUGUCUCUCGUGGUUAAAAAAAUAAAUUUUUCUUAAUGGGUUGAAAAGUUAUAUUACCUCAUGUAAAAAUUGAGAAAAAAAAUCAUUUCUAACCAAAUUAUAAUAAUAAUUAAUGAAGUCGUCCCUAAAAUCAAUCAUUUUAAAAACAAAUUAUUCUUCAAAAACCAAUACUUUAAAUCUUUUUGGGUAAAAUAAUCUAAUUAAAGGAUGCUUUCUUUUUACAAGGGCAUGGCAUUGACAAGCCCCAUGUGUCUAGAUUUUAAAUAAAUAAAUAAAUAAAUAAAAGACAAAUGAAAAGGACAUGCAUUAAAAACAUUGCAUGAUUUACC